RNAcentral lists this ribosomal RNA (460 nucleotides) under uncultured Methylomirabilota bacterium. Its description in RNAcentral is "bacterial SSU rRNA". It matches the Rfam family "Bacterial small subunit ribosomal RNA", at positions 977 to 1434 of the family's 1533-position model. The record is from RNAcentral. Lineage: Bacteria; Methylomirabilota (SeqCode).
GGGCUUGACAUCCCACGAAUCCCGCCGAAAGGCGGGGGUGCCCGCAAGGGAGCGCGGAGACAGGUGGUGCAUGGCUGUCGUCAGCUCGUGUCGUGAGAUGUUGGGUUAAGUCCCGCAACGAGCGCAACCCUCACCCCUUGUUGUCAUCAGGUCAGGCUGGGCACUCUAGGGGAACUGCCCCGGUCAACGGGGAGGAAGGUGGGGACGACGUCAAGUCAUCAUGCCCCUUACGUCCUGGGCUACACACGUGCUACAAUGGCCGGUACAAAGGGAUGCAAGACCGCGAGGUUGAGCUAAACCCAAAAAGCCGGUCUAAGUUCAGAUUGGAGUCUGCAACUCGACUCCAUGAAGGAGGAAUCGCUAGUAAUCGCGCAUCAGCACGGCGCGGUGAAUACGUUCCCGGGCCUUGUACACACCGCCCGUCACACCACGAAAGCCAGUUGUACUCGAAGUCGCUGAG